GAGAGCAGAGAGAGAGUGACAUUUGGAGCACGGAUGCACAAUGUGAGAAGAAAACAGAGAAAAGAAAGUGAAAUCCCUAAUCCCAAUUUUUCGCCUCCGCCGAUUCUGCUUGCAGGAAGAUAUGAAGCUGAGUUACUUGGCUCAGGAACUGAUUUCAACUGAUCGCUUAGUUCCUCAAUCUUGCACCAAGAAAUGUUAUUUGGAAAAUUGAAAGCUCAAGGGUUGAAAGUUAUCUUUAUUGAGGAUUUCUGGCUAUAGAUUGAAUUCCUCAAGUUGGUCAGCUCUGGUGAUUAUAAUGCUGCUUUAAGGGUUGCUUGCACUCAUUUGGGUCCUUUAGCUUCUAGUGAUCCUGCUUUAUUGAAGCCGUUGAAGGAAACUCUUUUGGCUUUACUACGACCUAAUGAAGACGCUCUUGGAAAUGCAUUACCUCUACAAGCUCCAGCUGCUUCUCUCCAGUUCCACCUUUUUGGCCCACAUGUCUCCAUCUCUGACAACACUGGCUCUGCCUCAAACAUUUGGCAGCAAAUGCUCAUAAAUCAUACAAGGAAGGAGUGACUGUCUCGUUCAAAUACGUCCUUGAAGUCCUCUUCAUUAAUUGUUAGUAUACUAUACCAUUUUACUAUAGUUAUUAAGCUUUAAUCCAUUUUCGUUGUUUUAUAAAUUAAUAUGAUAUUAAAUUUAUGCACACAUUGAGUGAACCUUAGUUUCCCGUUUGAGAUUCAAUACAAAUGAUUAACUUUAUUUAUACUUGUGUGAUAUGUACAAGUUAAGUCUCAUCUUAAAUUAUAUAGAAUUUUGGUUUAUUGCAUUUCAUUUUGUUCUCCGAGUGCAUAUUUGAGAGUGUUGUGAUUUGAUGUCAUCACUUUCAUUUCAUGUACUUGGAGACCAAUGCGAAAUGUUGGCGAACAAAAGUUAUGAAGAACAGAAGUUAUAAAAUAACAAGAUUGACAUACAUGGUCCAUGUUUUUUUUUAUGAAGAACAGAAGUUAUGGACAAUAGUUGGUUAUUGAAUCGAAGUUGGAUAAGUGCAUCACGCAUGAGUGAUCAGUAUGAGACUGGAGUGAAAUAUUUUGUUGAAUAUGUACUACAGAAUGCUAAGGAUGAUAUGAAUGGAAAGUUUUUUUACCCUUGUGUUAAUUGUUGUAAUACGACUCGCCUAGAACUUGAUAUUAUAAGGGAACAUCUUCUAUGUGAUGGGUUUCUUAAGAAUUAUACACGUUGGAAAUGGCAUGGUGACAAUAUUGACAUUCCAAGUGUGUCAGUCGAAACUCAAACUCAAACUUUUACACAAGAGGUAGAUAUGGGUGAUCGACUAGAGGAUAUGAUCCGUGACGUGGGUCCAGAAUCAUUCAAGCAAGCACAUAUGUAUGAAACUUUGUGCAGUGAUUCAGAGAAGCCGUUGUAUCUAAACUGCACAAAAUUUACAAGAUUGUCUGCAGUAUUGAGAUUGUUCAAUUUGAAGGCAAGAAAUGGAUGGAGUGAUAAAAGUUUCACAGAAUUGUUAGAGUUGCUGAAAGAAAUGCUUCCAGAGGGUAACACAUUGGGCUACAUUUUUCUUUAUAGAUAUUUAUAGAUCGAUCACCAUUGUCAUCAGAAGACAUCAACAUCAUUAGGGAGCAAUGGGCUACAUUUUUCAUUGAAACACUAACUAGUUAGGACUUAUUCUGUAUGAAAUACUUAUUAUGUAUACAUUACUGUAUUGAAUAUGUUUCCAAAAAGUUCUCUUGUAUUUUGUAUGUAAUCUGGACCAUUGAAAAUAUAUCAU
Non-coding RNA from Cajanus cajan (pigeon pea), 1765 nucleotides. NCBI's taxonomy places the organism in Eukaryota, Viridiplantae, Streptophyta, Magnoliopsida, Fabales, Fabaceae. The record is from RefSeq and is a predicted model, not a curated record.